UACGGGGGGGGCAAGCGUUGUUCGGAAUUACUGGGCGUAAAGGGAGCGUAGGCGGACAGUUUAGUCAGAGGUGAAAGCCCAGGGCUCAACCCUGGAAUUGCCUUUGAUACUGAUUGUCUUGAGUAUGGGAGAGGUGUGUGGAACUCCGAGUGUAGAGGUGAAAUUCGUAGAUAUUCGGAAGAACACCAGUGGCGAAGGCGACACACUGGCCCAUUACUGACGCUGAGGCUCGAAAGCGUGGGGAGCAAACAGG
This 253-nucleotide ribosomal RNA is filed under the name uncultured bacterium. Its description in RNAcentral is "partial 16S ribosomal RNA". It matches the Rfam family "Bacterial small subunit ribosomal RNA", at positions 524 to 776 of the family's 1533-position model. The record is from RNAcentral.